CGAGGACGAACGCUGGCGGCGUGCUUAACACAUGCAAGUCGAACGGGGAUCAUAUGGAUGAGAGCUUCGGCAGGAAUCCGAAUGAUUCGAGUGGCGGACGGGUGAGUAACGCGUGAGCAACCUGUCCCAGACAGGGGGAUAACACUUGGAAACAGGUGCUAAUACCGCAUGAGACCACAGUAUCGCAUGGUACAGGGGUAAAAGGAGAGAUCCGGUUUGGGGUGGGCUCGCGUCCGAUUAGAUAGUUGGUGAGGUAACGGCCCACCAAGUCGACGAUCGGUAGCCGACCUGAGAGGGUGAUCGGCCACAUUGGAACUGAGAGACGGUCCAAACUCCUACGGGAGGCGGCAGUGGGGAAUAUUGGGCAAUGGGCGAAAAAGCCUGACCCAGCAACGCCGCGUGAGUGAAGAAGGCUUUCGGGUUGUAAAGCUCUGUUAUAGGGGACGAAGGAAGUGACGGUACCCUAUAAGGAAGCCCCGGCUAACUACGUGCCAGCCGCCGC
RNAcentral lists this ribosomal RNA (502 nucleotides) under uncultured bacterium. RNAcentral's name for it is "bacterial SSU rRNA". It matches the Rfam family "Bacterial small subunit ribosomal RNA", at positions 26 to 518 of the family's 1533-position model. The record is from RNAcentral.